Long non-coding RNA from Lethenteron reissneri (Far Eastern brook lamprey), 631 nucleotides. RefSeq lists it as uncharacterized. Lineage: Eukaryota; Metazoa; Chordata; Hyperoartia; Petromyzontiformes; Petromyzontidae. The record is from RefSeq and is a predicted model, not a curated record.
AGUACUCGGCGCGGCGUGUAAACAUCGCCACGAGGGAGACACAGGAGGCCGCGCGUGGUGCUGGCCACCCACCCACCCACCCCUCGUGUGCCACAGUGCCGGCCUUCAUAGAUGGAGCGCCGGCUAAUGCUUGCUCUCGACGUCCCUGAGAAUGACCCCGGGCCCUUCCCCAAGCGGCUGGUUUAGUCACGAAAGCUUCAAAUCUAGAACACAUGAAAAUGCGCGUUAUCGCAUCGCGGGGCCCGGAGCCGACCAGGACCCCAUCGGGGUUUUCAUCGUGGAUCCUGUGACCGGGUGGCUUUCGGUCAGCAAGACCCUGGACCGCGAGCUCGUCAAAGAGUACCUGGUGAGGCACUCACACUAGUGUAAUGCGAGCGUAAACGGCCUCGCGGAUAUGACGUAACAGGUGGGAGGAGUUGGGUCACGUGGGGAGAGGGAGUGCUUUUAAGGGCAGGAACCGGAAGGGCUGGAGGAGAGUGUGGGAAGAAAGAAAGGUAGGAGGAUGGCGUUAGCGGUCGAGAUGCCUGAGGCUCCAGUGUGCCCGGGACCGGCCGAUGGGGUUCUGAACCUUCCACGAGCGGUGUGGAUCCGUGAACAAAUGCUUGAUGACUCGUUGGGGACCCUGCGGAGU